UAGGGAAUCUUCGGCAAUGGACGAAAGUCUGACCGAGCAACGCCGCGGGAGUGAAGAAGGUUUUCGGAUCGUAAAACUCUGUUGUUAGAGAAGAACAAGGACGUUAGUAACUGAACGUCCCCUGACGGUAUCUAACCAGAAAGCCACGGCUAACUACGUGCCAGCAGCCGCGGUAAUACGUAGGUGGCAAGCGUUGUCCGGAUUUAUUGGGCGUAAAGCGAGCGCGGGCGGUUUCUUAAGUCUGAUGUGAAAGCCCCCGGCUCAACCGGGGAGGGUCAUUGGAAACUGGGAGACGUGAGUGCAGAAGAGGAGAGUGGAAUUCCAUGGGUAGCGGUGAAAUGCGUAGAUAUAUGGAGGAACACCAGUGGCGAAGGCGGCUCGUUGGUCUGUAACGGACGCUGAGGCUCGAAAGCGUGGGGAGCAAACAGG
This 429-nucleotide ribosomal RNA is filed under the name Gemmatimonadota bacterium. RNAcentral's name for it is "Gemmatimonadetes bacterium partial 16S ribosomal RNA". It matches the Rfam family "Bacterial small subunit ribosomal RNA", at positions 355 to 776 of the family's 1533-position model. The record is from RNAcentral. Lineage: Bacteria; Pseudomonadati; Gemmatimonadota.